Molecule: ribosomal RNA, 316 nt
Filed under: uncultured eukaryote
Lineage: Eukaryota
Description: partial 18S ribosomal RNA
Rfam family: Eukaryotic small subunit ribosomal RNA
Source: RNAcentral
CCCUUAGAUGUUCUGGGCCGCACGCGUGCUACACUGACCGGCGCAACAAGCUUUUUUCCUUGGCUCGACAGGCCUGGGUAAUCUUCGAACGCCGGUCGUGAUGGGGAUAGAUCCUUGCAAUUUUUGAUCUUCAACGAGGAAUUCCUAGUAAAUGCGAGUCAUCAUCUCGCGUUGAUUACGUCCCUGCCCUUUGUACACACCGCCCGUCGCACCUACCGAUUGAAUGGUCCGGUGAAGCCUCGGGAUUGCGAAUGCUUCGUGCGGACGCGAGAACUUGGCUAAACCUUACCAUUUAGAGGAAGGUGAAGUCGUAACA